UUGGUUUUGCCCAAGUCAAUUUUUUCUAAGUUUAACUAGGGUUGUAGAAAAAUAUGGCAACAUCUACAAUAUCAAAUAAAUACGUCAACAAUACAUAUUUUAUGGUGGAUUUAAUAAAAUUGAUUUGAUGUUGUAGACGUUGAUGUAUUUUUCUAUAAAUUUAAUCAAAGUUAGAGAAAUUUGAUCUAGGGAAAAUCGAA
This 200-nucleotide microRNA precursor is filed under the name Dichanthelium oligosanthes. RNAcentral describes it as "MIR1435 microRNA precursor family". It matches the Rfam family "MIR1435 microRNA precursor family". Lineage: Eukaryota; Viridiplantae; Streptophyta; Magnoliopsida; Poales; Poaceae. The record is from Rfam by way of RNAcentral.